RNAcentral lists this ribosomal RNA (460 nucleotides) under uncultured bacterium. RNAcentral describes it as "partial 16S ribosomal RNA". It matches the Rfam family "Bacterial small subunit ribosomal RNA", at positions 338 to 795 of the family's 1533-position model. The record is from RNAcentral.
CCUACGGGUGGCAGCAGUGAGGAAUAUUGGUCAAUGGGCUUACGCCUGAACCAGCCAAGUCGCGUGAAGGAAGACUGCCCUAUGGGUUGUAAACCUCUUUUGUCAGGGAGCAACUCCGGCUACGUGUAGCCGGACUGAGAGUACCUGAAGAAAAAGCAUCGGCUAACUCCGUUCCAGCAGCCGCGGUAAUACGGAGUAUGCGAGCGUUAUCCGGAUUUAUUGGGUUUAAAGGGUGCGUAGGCGGAAUGCCAAGUCAGCGGUAAAAGCGCGGGGCUCAACCUCGCUCCGCCGUUGAAACUGGCGUUCUUGAGUGGGCGAGAAGUAUGCGGAAUGCGUGGUGUAGCGGUGAAAUGCAUAGAUAUCACGCAGAACUCCGAUUGCGAAGGCAGCAUACCGGCGCCCAACUGACGCUGAAGCACGAAAGCGUGGGUAUCGAACAGGAUUAGAUACCCCGGUAGUC